GACGAACGCUGGCGGCGUGCUUAACACAUGCAAGUCGAACGGCAAGGCCCUGCUUUUGUGGGGUGCUCGAGUGGCGAACGGGUGAGUAGCACGUGAGUAACCUGCCCUUGACUUUGGGAUAACUUCAGGAAACUGGGGCUAAUACCGGAUAGGAGCUCCUGCUGCAUGGUGGGGGUUGGAACGUUUCGGCGGUUGGGGAUGGACUCGCGGCUUAUCAGCUUGUUGGUGGGGUAGUGGCUUACCAAGGCUUUGACGGGUAGCCGGCCUGAGAGGGUGACCGGCCACCUUGGGCCUGAGAUACGGCCCAGACUCCUACGGUAGGCAGCAGUGGGGAAUAUUGCACAAUGGGCGGAAGCCUGAUGCAGCAACGCUGCGGGCGGGAUGACGGCCUUCGGGUUGUAAACCGCUUUCGCCUGUGACGAAGCGUGAGUGACGGUAAUGGGUAAAGAAGCACCGGCUAACUACGUG
This 468-nucleotide ribosomal RNA is filed under the name uncultured bacterium. RNAcentral describes it as "partial 16S ribosomal RNA". It matches the Rfam family "Bacterial small subunit ribosomal RNA", at positions 28 to 507 of the family's 1533-position model. The record is from RNAcentral.